This 315-nucleotide ribosomal RNA is filed under the name uncultured eukaryote. RNAcentral's name for it is "partial 18S ribosomal RNA". It matches the Rfam family "Eukaryotic small subunit ribosomal RNA", at positions 1470 to 1796 of the family's 1831-position model. The record is from RNAcentral.
CCCUUAGACGUUCUGGGCCGCACGCGCGCUACACUGACCAGUGCAACAAGCAUCCGUCCUUGGCCGACAGGCCCGGGCAAUCUUUGAACGCUGGUCGUGAUGGGGAUAGACUUUUGCAAUUUUUGGUCUUCAACGAGGAAUUCCUAGUAAACGCAAGUCAUCAACUUGCAUUGAUUACGUCCCUGCCCUUUGUACACACCGCCCGUCGCACCUACCGAUUGAAUGGCCCGGUGAAGCCUCCGGAUUGGCGCGCACCUCGGUGCCGCCGAGAAGUUGGCUAAACCUUACCAUUUAGAGGAAGGUGAAGUCGUANCA